GCCCCCAUAGCUCAGAUGGUAGAGCGACGGACUGUUAAUCCGUAGGUCGCAGGUUCGAGUCCUGCUGGGGGCG
RNAcentral lists this transfer RNA (73 nucleotides) under Methanocaldococcus jannaschii DSM 2661. It matches the Rfam family "tRNA". Rfam says of the family: Transfer RNA (tRNA) molecules are approximately 80 nucleotides in length. Their secondary structure includes four short double-helical elements and three loops (D, anti-codon, and T loops). Further hydrogen bonds mediate the characteristic L-shaped molecular structure. tRNAs have two regions of fundamental functional importance: the anti-codon, which is responsible for specific mRNA codon recognition, and the 3' end, to which the tRNAs corresponding amino acid is attached (by aminoacyl-tRNA synthetases). tRNAs cope with the degeneracy of the genetic code in two manners: having more than one tRNA (with a specific anti-codon) for a particular amino acid; and 'wobble' base-pairing, i.e. permitting non-standard base-pairing at the 3rd anti-codon position. Lineage: Archaea; Methanobacteriati; Methanobacteriota; Methanococci; Methanococcales; Methanocaldococcaceae. The record is from Rfam by way of RNAcentral.